UACGUAGGGUGCGAGCGUUGUCCGGAAUUAUUGGGCGUAAAGGGCUCGUAGGCGGUUUGUCGCGUCGGGAGUGAAAACCCAGGGCUUAACCCUGGGCUGGCUUCCGAUACGGGCAGACUAGAGGUAUGCAGGGGAGAACGGAAUUCCUGGUGUAGCGGUGAAAUGCGCAGAUAUCAGGAGGAACACCGAUGGCGAAGGCAGGUCUCUGGGCCACUACUGACGCUGAGAAGCGAAAGCGUGGGGAGCGAACAGG
RNAcentral lists this ribosomal RNA (253 nucleotides) under uncultured bacterium. Its description in RNAcentral is "partial 16S ribosomal RNA". It matches the Rfam family "Bacterial small subunit ribosomal RNA", at positions 524 to 776 of the family's 1533-position model. The record is from RNAcentral.